ACCGCGUGCGCCACGAUUCCAGGCGCGGCUGCCCGCACCAGCCGACCCGAGCGGCCCUCGGCACCUCGGGGGUUCCUGACCCCCGCGCGUCG
This 92-nucleotide transfer RNA is filed under the name Streptomyces naganishii JCM 4654. RNAcentral describes it as "tRNA-Ala". Lineage: Bacteria; Bacillati; Actinomycetota; Actinomycetes; Kitasatosporales; Streptomycetaceae. The record is from RNAcentral.